This is a long non-coding RNA of Zingiber officinale, 626 nucleotides long. RefSeq lists it as uncharacterized. Lineage: Eukaryota; Viridiplantae; Streptophyta; Magnoliopsida; Zingiberales; Zingiberaceae. The transcript has 2 exons. The record is from RefSeq and is a predicted model, not a curated record.
UCUCUAUAUACCUCUUGGGCGACCUUUGCUCUGACUGCUUUUUUGUGAAGGAAAUGAAAGGGAAGUGAAAUAGGUUAGUUGAAGUAAACCUUCUCCUUCUCAAGACUUGAUUCACUGCCCAAGAUUUGUCGACCACUCAGAAAUAUGAAGCCAUCGAGUUCCAAUGAGUUUGAACAUGUGGUCGAAGCUGUCUGAAGAAACGCCAGUUAAUGAGACAUCAAGUAUGUUUGGCAAAGAUCAAACGGUAUUUCUGAAAAAGAAAACAAGCUAGUGAAGUUCUUUGAUGAGUUCACAAAGAUUGGUGUCCCUGAAAUGAAGAUACUUCAAAUGUUUGCUACUUAGUACAAAACAGGGACAGAGUGAAGAUCUUCAUGGCAUGCCCAGUUGAUAGAAGGCUCACCUUGUUGGAAUUCAUGGAGUUGAUAUGAAAAGCAGUAUGCUGAAGGGUCGACAACUUUAGGCUAUUGAUGCUCAAUAUACCGGUAGUCAAUAUACUUUUCUCGUCAUGUGAUUAAGUAAUAUGAGCUGAUCAGUAUCAAAUGUCUCAGUUGAUAUCGUAUCCUAACUUUGCUUGCUGUUCUGUUCAGCAAUCUGAAUCAACUUGUUGGAUUUUCACUUCCUGUUCA